AGCAGCCGCGGUAAUUCCAGCUCCAAUAGCGUAUAUUAAAGUUGUUGCAGUUAAAAAGCUCGUAGUUGAAUUUCGGGAUCAAUAUGUCGGUCGUGCCUUCGGUACGUACUGGUAUCAUUGGUCUCUCCUUUCUGACGAACCAUGAUGUCAUUAAUUUGGUGUUAUGGGGAGUUAGGACUGUUACUUUGAAAAAUUAGAGUGUUUAAAGCAGGCUUUAGCUUGAAUACAUUAGCAUGGAAUAAUGAAAUAGGACGUUCGAACCUAUUUUGUUGGUUUCUAGGAUCAACGUAAUGAUUAAUAGGGAUAGUUGGGGGCAUUAGUAUUCAAUUGUCAGAGGUGAAAUUCUUGGAUUUAUUGAAGACUAACUACUGCGAAAGCAUUUGCCAAGGAUGUUUUCAUUAAUCAAGAACGAAAGUUAGGGGAUCGAAGACGAUCAGAUACCGUCGUAGUCUUAACCAUAAACUAUGCCGACUAGGGAUCGGAUGAUGUUAAUUUUUAAUGUACUCAUUCGGCGCCUUAA
RNAcentral lists this small RNA (520 nucleotides) under uncultured Glomus. RNAcentral's name for it is "SSU rRNA". It matches the Rfam family "Eukaryotic small subunit ribosomal RNA", at positions 569 to 1091 of the family's 1831-position model. The record is from RNAcentral. Lineage: Eukaryota; Fungi; Glomeromycota; Glomeromycetes; Glomerales; Glomeraceae.